AAGGUAUUGCCCGUGGAGAAGUUUGAAGGAGCAUUGCAUAUGCUCCGAGUUACUGAGAACUGAGAGGUGAAUCUCAGGUACCGGAGGGGAGAUCCAAGAACUAGAACAAGUUGAGACAAGGAAGACAAUCAGAGUCAAGGUGGAGAAUUGUAAGAAGUGACUCAGAUUUUAGUCUUCGGGUCUAAGUGUGGGAGAAACUCGGUGAAAGAGAGGGUUCGAAGUCUGUUGUGAUUCGAGCUGACUAAAGUCAUAACACGUGAGGCGAGCUGACUAAAGUCAUAACACGUGAGGCGAGCUGACUAAAGUCAUAACACGUGAGGCGAGCUGACUAAAGUCAUAACAAGCUUGAGGGCGUUUUGGUCUUUUCGCAUGAGCUCUGUAACUAUAUCUUCUUCUUCUUCUCUGUAAUUCUGUUAGAUCGGGAUAAGAAUUUGUUGAGGUCAAAAAGAGAGAGGAGUGUAGUGAGAAAAAGCUUGAAAGCAUUGUAACAGAGACUAAGUUUUCAAGUUCUAGUGAAUUUCCGGAGAGGUUUCUCCGGCGAGACGUAGCGUUCCGGUUUGGAACGUGAACUCGUUAAAUUCUCUGUAUUCAGCUUUUCUUUUACUUUCUUUCAGUUCUGGUCAAUUCGAUUCUUAGUGCUGAAGUUGAUUCGUGUGUUUGUGAGAUUGAAGUGAAGUUAGAUAUUUACAGUUAUGAACUUCUAAGGCAACUCUAUUAUCAAAAAUUUAACAGCAUAUCUUAAACGGCCUAGUAUACAAAACUUAGCUAAUUUAUUGACAAAUCAACCAAAAUGAAAAUUA
Molecule: small RNA, 800 nt
Filed under: Arabidopsis thaliana (thale cress)
Lineage: Eukaryota; Viridiplantae; Streptophyta; Magnoliopsida; Brassicales; Brassicaceae
Description: ATSL212310
Source: RNAcentral